This 837-nucleotide ribosomal RNA is filed under the name uncultured bacterium. RNAcentral describes it as "bacterial SSU rRNA". It matches the Rfam family "Bacterial small subunit ribosomal RNA", at positions 22 to 902 of the family's 1533-position model. The record is from RNAcentral.
GCUCAGGAUGAACGCUGGCGGUAUGCUUAACACAUGCAAGUCGAACGAUGUUUUAGGACAUAGUGGCGGACGGGUGAGUAACGCGUAAGAAUCUACCUUCAGGUUUGGGACAACCAUUGGAAACGGUGGCUAAUACCGAAUGUGCCGAGAGGUGAAAGGCUUGCUGCCUGAAGAAGAGCUUGCGUCUGAUUAGCUAGUUGGUGGGGUAAGAGCCUACCAAGGCGACGAUCAGUAGCUGGUCUGAGAGGAUGAUCAGCCACACUGGGACUGAGACACGGCCCAGACUCCUACGGGAGGCAGCAGUGGGGAAUUUUCCGCAAUGGGCGAAAGCCUGACGGAGCAAUACCGCGUGAGGGAGGAAGGCUCUUGGGUUGUAAACCUCUUUUCUCAGGGAAGAAAAAAAUGACGGUACCUGAGGAAUAAGCAUCGGCUAACUCCGUGCCAGCAGCCGCGGUAAUACGGAGGAUGCAAGCGUUAUCCGGAAUGAUUGGGCGUAAAGGGUCCGCAGGUGGUAGUGUAAGUCUGCUGUUAAAGAGUCACGCUCAACGUGAUAAAAGCAGUGGAAACUACACAACUAGAGUACGGUAGGGGCAGAAGGAAUUCCUGGUGUAGCGGUGAAAUGCGUAGAUAUCAGGAAGAACACCGGUGGCGAAAGCGUUCUGCUAGACCUGUACUGACACUGAGGGACGAAAGCUAGGGGAGCGAAUGGGAUUAGAUACCCCAGUAGUCCUAGCCGUAAACGAUGGAUACUAGGUGUGGCUUGUAUCGACCCGAGCCGUACCGUAGCUAACGCGUUAAGUAUCCCGCCUGGGGAGUACGCACGCAAGUGUGAAACUC